RNAcentral lists this ribosomal RNA (324 nucleotides) under Triticum aestivum (bread wheat). Its description in RNAcentral is "partial small subunit ribosomal RNA". The record is from RNAcentral. Lineage: Eukaryota; Viridiplantae; Streptophyta; Magnoliopsida; Poales; Poaceae.
AUGAGGUUCCAAUGGUUAGUUUUGGAUUUUUUCAGGCAAGAAAGCAAAGAAGAAGGGAGGAUUCUCUAUUACCAACUUCCCCCAUUGUCCUGUCCUCAUUGGUCAUUCAUCUUUCCCGAUCUAGUGCCAUCGUUCUUCAAGGUGCCGGAGGGUUUGAAACAUACCUACUACCCCUCCCCUGAGCUUAGUUUAGAGUUGCCUCAGUGCGCUCGAGUAAUAACUGGGAAAAUCAAGGCUGGACAGGUCUUCGAGCCAACUUCAGGAAGAAAUGCAAGUGAAAGAGAAUGCUCUCGAGGGCGCAGGAGUCUUUUCUUUCUUAUUUGA